Molecule: long non-coding RNA, 507 nt
Organism: Nematostella vectensis (starlet sea anemone)
Lineage: Eukaryota; Metazoa; Cnidaria; Anthozoa; Actiniaria; Edwardsiidae
Exons: 2
Source: RefSeq, a predicted model, not a curated record
CGAUACCAAAGUACAUACAGAAGAAAGUCAUAACCUCCGUACCAUCAUCAUGGGAAACCAUACCAGAGUAAAUACAGAAGAAAGUCAUACAUACGAUGGGAAGUCAGGGCCAGAUUCAAUGAGCUUCAAAAAGAACCAGGAGUUCCUCGACCUUCUCACGAGUUUGAUGUUCCCGACAAAUACAGCAUGUACGAAGCGUGAAGCAACUAUAAAAUCAUUAUCUAGGCAAUCAACUGGCAGAUAAAUGUCCACUGUGCUCCUAUCAACGGUGACGUGAUAAAAAAAAAACAAAAAACUCUUAGACAAGGCGUGGACUUAUAUUAAUAAUAUCUACCGUACAAACGUACAAAUACGCCAUGACGUUCCUCAACCACGUUAAAUGGCAAGGUUAACAAUUGUCCCAUAUCAUGUCUGCAUGUCUUUUUGGAAAAUUUGGCUACGCCUUUGUCUGUGUUGUAUUCAAGGGAAUAAAUCUAUUAAAAAAAUGGUUGUACUAAGAACAAAUAC